AUUCCAGCUCCAACAGCGUAUAUUAAAGUUGUUGCAGUUAAAAAGCUCGUAGUUGGAUUUCUGGCCGAGUGUCCCCAGGCCAGCAUGACGUUUGGUCCUGGGCGCUCUGCCAUCCUUCUGUCAACCUUCGCCUCGUUCAUUCGUGGCGCUGGGGCUCAGAUAUUUUACCUUGAGAAAAUUAGAGUGUUUCAGGCAGGCUUUCGCCGGAAUACAUUAGCAUGGAAUAAUGGAAAAGGACUUCAACCUCUUCUGUUGGUCUGAGAGGCUGUAGUAAUGAUUAAUAGGGAUAGUUGGGGGCAUUAGUACUUAACUGUCAGAGGUGAAAUUCUCCGAUUUGUUAAAGACUAACUUAUGCGAAAGCAUUUGCCAAGGAUGUUUUCAUUG
RNAcentral lists this ribosomal RNA (384 nucleotides) under Leegaardiella sp. RNAcentral describes it as "partial small subunit ribosomal RNA". It matches the Rfam family "Eukaryotic small subunit ribosomal RNA", at positions 582 to 975 of the family's 1831-position model. Lineage: Eukaryota; Ciliophora; Spirotrichea; Choreotrichida; Leegaardiellidae. The record is from RNAcentral.